AUACGGAGGAUCCGAGCGUUAUCCGGAUUUAUUGGGUUUAAAGGGUGCGCAGGCGGCCAUUUAAGUCAGCGGUUAAAUCGUGGGGCUCAUCCCCAUUCUGCCGUUGAUACUGGGUGGCUUGAUUGCGGUCGAGGUUGGCGGAAUUCGUUGUGUAGCGGUGAAAUGCAUAGAUAUGACGAAGAACACCGAUUGCGUAGGCAGCUGACCAGACCGCAAAUGACGCUCAUGCACGAAAGUGCGGGGAUCGAACAGGAUUAGAUACCCUGGUAGUCCGCACAGUAAACGAUGAAUACUUGUUUUCGGCGAUAUAAUGUCGGAGGCAAAGCGAAAGCGAUAAGUAUUCCACCUGGGGAGUACGCCGGCAACGGUGAAACUCAAAUGAAUUGGCGGGG
Molecule: ribosomal RNA, 392 nt
Filed under: uncultured bacterium
Lineage: Bacteria
Description: partial 16S ribosomal RNA
Rfam family: Bacterial small subunit ribosomal RNA
Source: RNAcentral